RNAcentral lists this long non-coding RNA (2078 nucleotides) under Brassica rapa (field mustard). RNAcentral describes it as "long non-coding RNA (BRAP_LNC005939)". The record is from RNAcentral. Lineage: Eukaryota; Viridiplantae; Streptophyta; Magnoliopsida; Brassicales; Brassicaceae.
AUUAAACAUUGCCGUUUUACAUUAAAUAUAGAAAAAUACGUAAAGAUUUAAAUAUCUAUCUUAAAAUAUAAAAUAUAGACAUUAACUAAAUAUAAAGUAUAAAAAAGAGAAAUACUCAUCUCUACUAAUAAAAGGGAGCUUUUGAGGCUCCGUAGGGCGUCCACAUCAGCGGAAAAAAUUUAUUCCGAAAGAUGACACGUGUCAUAAAAUAUAGUUUUACAUUUUAAUAUUAAUUAUUUUCGAAAAUUGUAAAAAAUAUGUAAACAUACAGCAUUAAAAAAUGGAAAAACUACAUUAAACAUAUGUAAGAUUACUAUUUUUCACUUAAAAAAAAAGACGGCUUAUCUCCAUAAUGUAACAUUACCGUUUUAUAAAAAAAAACAAAAAACAUUAUAUAUAAUUUCGAAAAUAAUAAAUAUAAGUAAAACAUACAACAUAAAAAUGGAAAUACUACAUUAAACAUAAAUAUGUUUGACUAUUUGUCCAAGUUCUUCUAUUAAACAUUGCCGUUUUACAUUAAAAAUAGAAAAAUACGUAAAGAUUUAAACAUCUAUCUUAAAAUAUAAAAUAUAGACAUUAACUAAAUAUAAAGUAUAAAAAAGAGAAAUACUCAAUAUAAAAAAAAUAAUAAUAAGUAAAUAUUAUAAAUAUAUAAAUAUAUGAAUUAUAUAUACAAUAAUAAGUAAAUGCACAAUUUUUUAAAAAUGGAAAGAGUAUAUUAAAUAUUAAACAUCUAUCUUAAAAUGUAAAAUAUAGAUAUUAAGUAAAUAGAAAAUAUAAGAAAAAGAAAUACACAACUUAAAAACAAUGGAAAAAGUAUAUUAAGAUUUAAACAUCUAUCUUAAAAUGUAAAAUAUAGAUAUUACGCAAAUAGAAAGUAUAAGAAAAGGAAAUACACAAUUUAAAAAAAAUAGAAAAAGUACAUUAGUAUUUAAACAUCUAUCUUAAAAUGUAAAUCAAUCUUAAAAUAUAAAAUUAUUAGUAAAUAGAAAGUAUAAAAAAUAAAAAUACACAAUAUAAAGAAAAAUAAAUAAUAAGUAAAUAUAUAAUAUAAUCUCGAAAGAUGACACAUGGCAUUAAAAUAUAAUUUUACAUUUUAAUAUUACUUAUUUUCGAAAAUUAUAAAAGAAAUGUAAACAUACAGCAUAAAAAAAAUGUAAAAACUACAUUAAACAUAUGUAAGAUUACUAUUUUUCACUUAAAAAAAGACGGCUUAUCUCCAUAACGUAACAUUACCGUUUUAUAAAAAAAACAAAAAACAUUAUAUAUAAUUUUGAAAAUAAUAAAUAUAUGUAAAACAUACAACAUAAAAAUGGAAAUACUACAUUAAACAUAUGUAAGAUUACCAUUUUACAUUUUUAUUUUAAGAAAAUAAUAUGUAAACAUACAACAUAAAAAAUGAAAAAACUACAUUAAACAUAUGUAAGAUUACCAUUUUUCACUAAAAAAAAGACGGCUUAUCUCCAUAAUGUAACAUUACUAUUUUGUAAAAAAAAAAUUAUAUAUAAUUUCGAAAAUAAUAAAUAAUAUGUAAACAUACAACAUAAAAAAUGGAAAUACUACAUUAAACAUAUGUAAAAUUACCAUUUUACAUUUAAAAAUAACAAUAAUAUGUAAACAUACAACAUAAAAAAAUGGAAAAACUACAUUAAACAUGUGUAAGAUUACCAUUGUUCACUAAAAAAACGGGUUAUCUUCAUAAUGUAACAUUAGAAUUUUAUUAAAAAAAGAAAAAAAAACAUAAAUAUAACUAUUUGACUAUUUGUCCAAGUUCUUCUAUUAAACAUUGCCGUUUUACAUUAAAAAUAGAAAAAUACGUAAAGAUUUAAACAUCUAUCUUAAAAUAUAAAAUAUAUACAUUAACUAAAUAUAAAGUAUAAGAAAGAGAAAUACUCAAUAUAUAGAAAAAUAAAUAAUAAGUAAAUAUUAUAAAUAUAUAAAUAUACGAAUUAUAUAUACAAUAAUAAGUAAAUGCACAAUUAUUAAAAAAUGAAAAUAGUAUAUUAAAUAUUAAACAUCUAUCUUAAAAUGUAAAAUAUAGAUAUUAAGUAAAUAGAAAGUAUUAGAAAAGGAAAUAC